RNAcentral lists this long non-coding RNA (370 nucleotides) under Phaseolus vulgaris (common bean). Its description in RNAcentral is "long non-coding RNA (PVUL_LNC004639)". Lineage: Eukaryota; Viridiplantae; Streptophyta; Magnoliopsida; Fabales; Fabaceae. The record is from RNAcentral.
UGCCAUGGCUGAGGAGUUUCAAGCUAGGAUUUGUGGUGAAAACUGGUGGAGUAGUACUAUUGAUUCAGCAAGAACUGUCUUCCCUAUAAGCUCAUCAUCGAUUUCUUCUUCUCCUUGUUCCGUGGCAGCUAAUAAUGAUGCAGGAAUCUACAGCACUCGGCAAACAGAUUUGAAGGCAACCAAGUGUUGUGUUGAAGAGACUAACAAUUUUGUUUCUAACUCUUACCUGGGUUUUGUUGAUGCACAGAAGGCACCCAAGAGUGAAUCAGCCAGUGGAAGUGGUGGCAUGUUGAUGGAUUCCACCAUACAGAUGAUGGGUUUUGGCCUCACAUCUUCAACAUCAGAGAAUUGGAAUCAGCCUCUAUUAGUG